Molecule: ribosomal RNA, 492 nt
Filed under: uncultured bacterium
Lineage: Bacteria
Description: partial 16S ribosomal RNA
Rfam family: Bacterial small subunit ribosomal RNA
Source: RNAcentral
AGUGAACGCUGGCGGUAGGCCUAACACAUGCAAGUCGAACGGCAGCACAGUAAGAGCUUGCUCUUACGGGUGGCGAGUGGCGGACGGGUGAGGAAUACAUCGGAAUCUACUUUUUCGUGGGGGAUAACGUAGGGAAACUUACGCUAAUACCGCAUACGACCUACGGGUGAAAGCAGGGGAUCUUCGGACCUUGCGCGAUUGAAUGAGCCGAUGUCGGAUUAGCUAGUUGGCGGGGUAAAGGCCCACCAAGACGACGAUCCGUAGCUGGUCUGAGAGGAUGAUCAGCCACACUGGAACUGAGACACGGUCCAGACUCCUACGGGAGGCAGCAGUGGGGAAUAUUGGGCAAUGGGCGCAAGCCUGAUCCAGCCAUACCGCGUGGGUGAAGAAGGCCUUCGGGUUGUAAAGCCCUUUUGUUGGGAAAGAAAAGCAGCAGGUUAAUACCCCGCUGUUCUGACGGUACCCAAAGAAUAAGCACCGGCUAACUUCGUG